UACGUAGGUGGCGAGCGUUGUCCGGAUUUACUGGGCGUAAAGCGCGUGUAGGCUGUUCCGCAAGUCGGAUGUGAAAGCCCUGGGCUCAACCUAGGAAGUGCAUUCGAAACUGUGGAACUGGAGUCCUGGAGAGGAAGGCGGAAUUCUCGGUGUAGAGGUGAAAUUCGUAGAUAUCGAGAGGAACACCGGUGGCGAAGGCGGCCUUCUGGACAGUGACUGACGCUGAGACGCGAAAGCGUGGGGAGCAAACAGG
Molecule: ribosomal RNA, 253 nt
Filed under: uncultured bacterium
Lineage: Bacteria
Description: partial 16S ribosomal RNA
Rfam family: Bacterial small subunit ribosomal RNA
Source: RNAcentral